AAGACCUUGCGCUUUUGGAGCGGCCGAUGCCUGAUUAGCUUGUUGGUAAGGUAAAAGCUUACCAAGGCCUCGAUCAGUAGCUGGUCUGAGAGGACGGCCAGCCACACUGGGACUGAGACACGGCCCAGACUCCUACGGGAGGCAGCAGUGGGGAAUUUUGGACAAUGGGGGCAACCCUGAUCCAGCCAUGCCGCGUGAGUGAAGAAGGCCUUCGGGUUGUAAAGCUCUUUCAGCCGGAACGAAACGGUUACGGUUAAUACCCGUGAUUACUGACGGUACCGGAAGAAGAAGCACCGGCUAACUACGUGCCAGCAGCCGCGGUAAUACGUAGGGUGCGAGCGUUAAUCGGAAUUACUGGGCGUAAAGCGUGCGCAGGUGGAUUUGUAAGUCAGAUGUGAAAUCCCCGGGCUUAACCUGGGAACU
Molecule: ribosomal RNA, 423 nt
Filed under: uncultured bacterium
Lineage: Bacteria
Description: bacterial SSU rRNA
Rfam family: Bacterial small subunit ribosomal RNA
Source: RNAcentral